GUGGGGAAUAUUGGACAAUGGGCGAAAGCCUGAUCCAGCCAUGCCGCGUGUGUGAAGAAGGUCUUCGGAUUGUAAUGCACUUUAAGUUGGGAGGAAGGGUAGUAACAUAAUACGUUGCUACUUUGACGUUACCGACAGAAUAAGCACCGGCUAACUUCGUGCCAGCAGCCGCGGUAAUACGAAGGGUGCAAGCGUUAAUCGGAAUUACUGGGCGUAAAGCGCGCGUAGGUGGUUCAGUAAGUUGGAAGUGAAAUCCCCGGGCUCAACCUGGGAACUGCUUUCAAAACUGCUGAGCUAGAGUACGGUAGAGGGUGGUGGAAUUUCCUGUGUAGCGGUGAAAUGCGUAGAUAUAGGAAGGAACACCAGUGGCGAAGGCGACCACCUGGACUGAUACUGACACUGAGGUGCGAAAGCGUGGGGAGCAAACAGGAUUAGAAACCCCAGUAGUCC
This 450-nucleotide ribosomal RNA is filed under the name uncultured bacterium. RNAcentral describes it as "partial 16S ribosomal RNA". It matches the Rfam family "Bacterial small subunit ribosomal RNA", at positions 354 to 796 of the family's 1533-position model. The record is from RNAcentral.